Molecule: ribosomal RNA, 492 nt
Filed under: uncultured bacterium
Lineage: Bacteria
Description: partial 16S ribosomal RNA
Rfam family: Bacterial small subunit ribosomal RNA
Source: RNAcentral
AGUGAACGCUGGCGGUAGGCCUAACACAUGCAAGUCGAACGGCAGCACAGUAAGAGCUUGCUCUUACGGGUGGCGAGUGGCGGACGGGUGAGGAAUACAUCGGAAUCUACUUUUUCGUGGGGGAUAACGUAGGGAAACUUACGCUAAUACCGCAUACUACCUACGGGUGAAAGCAGGGGAUCUUCGGACCUUGCGCGAUUGAAUGAGCCGAUGUCGGAUUAGCUAGUUGGCGGGGUAAAGGCCCACCAAGGCGACGAUCCGUAGCUGGUCUGAGAGGAUGAUCAGCCACACUGGAACUAAGACACGGUCCAGACUCCUACGGGAGGCAGCAGUGGGGAAUAUUGGACAAUGGGCGCAAGCCUGAUCCAGCCAUACCGCGUGGGUGAAGAAGGCCUUCGGGUUGUAAAGCCCUUUUGUUGGGAAAGAAAAGCAGCAGGUUAAUACCCCGCUGUUCUGACGGUACCCAAAGAAUAAGCACCGGCUAACUUCGUG